This 449-nucleotide ribosomal RNA is filed under the name Alexandrium monilatum. Its description in RNAcentral is "partial Bacterial large subunit ribosomal RNA". It matches the Rfam family "Bacterial large subunit ribosomal RNA", at positions 668 to 1116 of the family's 2925-position model. The record is from RNAcentral. Lineage: Eukaryota; Dinophyceae; Gonyaulacales; Pyrocystaceae.
CAGCGAAAGUGAGUCUGAACAGGGCAUUCAGUCCGCUGCUUUAGACCCGAAACCAGGUGAUCUAGCCAUGCGCAGGAUGAAGGUGCGGUAACACGCACUGGAGGACCGAACCGGGAUCUGUUGAAAAAGAUUCGGAUGACCUGUGGGUCGGAGUGAAAGGCUAAUCAAGUCCGGAGAUAGCUGGUUCUCCCCGAAAGCUAUUUAGGUAGCGCCUCGGACGAAUACCAUUGGGGGUAGAGCACUGUUUGGGCUAGGGGGUCAUCCCGACUUACCAACCCCAUGCAAACUCCGAAUACCAAUGAGUACUAUCCGGGAGACACACGGCGGGUGCUAACGUCCGUCGUGGAGAGGGAAACAACCCUGACCGACAGCUAAGGCCCCCAAUUCGUGGCUAAGUGGGAAAGGAUGUGGGACUCCCAAAACAACCAGGAGGUUGGCUUAGAAGCAGC